AUGCACGCUGGCGGCGUGCCUAAUACCUGCAAGUCGAGCGCACGGACGAGAAGCUUGCUUCUCUGAUGUUAGCGGCGGACGGGUGAGUAACACGUGGAUAACCUACCUAUAAGACUGGGAUAACUUCGGGAAACCGGAGCUAAUACCGGAUAAUAUUUUGAACCGCAUGGUUCCAAAGUGAAAGACGGUCUUGCUGUCACUUAUAGAUGGAUCCGCGCUGCAUUAGCUAGUUGGUAAGGUAACGGCUUACCAAGGCAACGAUGCAUAGCCGACCUGAGAGGGUGAUCGGCCACACUGGAACUGAGACACGGUCCAGACUCCUACGGGAGGCAGCAGUAGGGAAUCUUCCGCAAUGGGCGAAAGCCUGACGGAGCAACGCCGCGUGAGUGAUGAAGGUCUUCGGAUCGUAAAACUCUGUUAUUAGGGAAGAACAUAUGUGUAAGUAACUGUGCACAUCUUGACGGUACCUAAUCAGAAAGCCACGGCUAACUACGUG
RNAcentral lists this ribosomal RNA (496 nucleotides) under uncultured bacterium. RNAcentral's name for it is "partial 16S ribosomal RNA". It matches the Rfam family "Bacterial small subunit ribosomal RNA", at positions 29 to 507 of the family's 1533-position model. The record is from RNAcentral.